AGGAUGUGAAUGACGCAUAAAUCAAGAUAACCCAGCCAGCUUUAUAAUUGCAUUCAAACAAAAGUUAGGCGAGUCGCUAAAACUGAAAGAGUCGCAGCAAAUUUAAAACACCAAAAUAUGUGGAGAGCUGUCAAGAUAAUUACUCACAGCUGGCUGAUAAACUCAAAAUGCAGACUGAGGAAGUUACAGUAAGGUUAACGGGAUUUUAAAAAUUUGGUGCACACAACGGCUAACGGCGAAGUCCUAAAAGAAAUCUAUAUAUUGUUCUUAGACGGGGAAAUGUGCUGUGUCAGUGUGCAUUAAUUUGCAGCAGAUAUAGAAAUUCAUACUGGUUCAUUGAUGACAAUGAAGAAGGAGGAAGAAAAUGGGAAAAAAGUGAAUAUGUGAAAAACAAUUGCAAUCCGAACAAGACUAAAGAAGGACGUUUCAAAUGCUCUUGGAUUAUACUAUUUGUGUCUUUAAACAAUAUUUUACUGAAAAGAGGGAUUGAUAAAAAUUGAAAUUCAAAUAUUGCCAAGUUGUAUUGUGUUUGCAAUUGAAAUUUCAACUGCCUCAUUAUAUUAAACGUUUUAGAUUUGACGGUGUGCCUAAUCCAGUCAGUCGUAGAUGCAAGUGAUGCAGAGGAAGUGUGGAGUAUAAUUCGACAUUUUGAAUACAUUUUAAGGCAGAAACGUGAAAGCAAGACGUAUUAUUAUUUAUUCUUAAACUCUGUAAGCUUUGGCAAAUGUUUUUGUUUAAUUAUUGUUAUAAUAUUGAAGCAAACUUAACAGAAUUUGUUAGAAACUAACAAAUAAAUUGUACAGUUUA
Saccostrea cuccullata (small rock oyster) is the source of this 807-nucleotide long non-coding RNA. RefSeq lists it as uncharacterized. The transcript is spliced from 3 exons. The record is from RefSeq and is a predicted model, not a curated record. NCBI's taxonomy places the organism in Eukaryota, Metazoa, Mollusca, Bivalvia, Ostreida, Ostreidae.